Molecule: ribosomal RNA, 566 nt
Filed under: Ommatides sp. 2 SL-2016
Lineage: Eukaryota; Metazoa; Arthropoda; Insecta; Hemiptera; Schizopteridae
Description: eukaryotic LSU rRNA
Rfam family: Eukaryotic large subunit ribosomal RNA
Source: RNAcentral
CGUAACAAAAGUAAAAUUUAUAAUUAAUGGCUCCUUAAUUGGAGUAUUUCUAAAGUUAAUUAUAAAUAAGGGAGGAUAGUUUAGUUUCCUUUUAAAAAUUUUAAUUUUUUUAAGGGGCUAGCUCGCACUCCCGGGGCGUCUUACACUCAUUGCGAGUAAAGGCGCACCAAGAGCGUACACGUUGGGACCCGAAAGAUGGUGAACUAUGCAAGGCCAGGAUGAAGCCAGGGGAAACCCUGGUGGAGGUCCGUAGCGAUUCUGACGUGCAAAUCGAUCGUCAGAGUUUUGUAUAGGGGCGAAAGACCAAUCGAACUAUCUAGUAGCUGGUUCCCUCCGAAGUUUCCCUCAGGAUAGCUGGUGCUAAUGAUGACAAGAGUCUCAUCUGGUAAAGCGAAUGAUUAGAGGGCUUGGGGCCGAAACGACCUCAACCUAUUCUCAAACUUUAAAUGGAUGAGAGCCUUGGCUUGCUUAAAUAUAUUAAAAUAAUAGCUCUUGUAGUUAUUAUUGUUUUUGUGAAGCCAGGGACUUUGGAUCAAAGUACCAAGUGGGCCAUUUUUGGUAAGCAG